UUGGAGGGCAAGUCUGGUGCCAGCAGCCGCGGUAAUUCCAGCUCCAAUAGCGUAUAUUAAAGUUGUUGCAGUUAAAAAGCUCGUAGUUGAAUUUCGGGAUCAAGGAAUCGGCCAUGCCUCGGUAUGUACUGGUUUUAUUGGUUCUCACCUUCUAAAGAACCAUAAUGUCAUUUAUUUGGUGUUAUGGGGAAUUAGGACUGUUACCUUGAAAAAAUUAGAGUGUUUAAAGCAAGCUUACGCUUGAAUACAUUAGCAUGGAAUAAUGAAAUAGGACAUCCGAUUCUAUUUUGUUGGUUUCUAGGAUCGAUGUAAUGAUUAAUAGGGAUAGUUGGGGGCAUUAGUAUUCAAUUGUCAGAGGCGAAAUUCUUGGAUUUAUUGAAGACUAACUACUGCGAAAGCAUUUGCCAAGGAUGUUUUCAUUAAUCAAGAACGAAAGUUAGGGGAUCGAAGACGAUCAGAUACCGUCGUAGUCUUAACCAUAAACUAUGCCGACUAGGGAUCGGAUGAUGUUUAUUUUUUAGUGACUCAUUCGGCGCCUUACGGGAAAC
RNAcentral lists this ribosomal RNA (548 nucleotides) under uncultured Septoglomus. Its description in RNAcentral is "SSU rRNA". It matches the Rfam family "Eukaryotic small subunit ribosomal RNA", at positions 548 to 1098 of the family's 1831-position model. The record is from RNAcentral. Lineage: Eukaryota; Fungi; Glomeromycota; Glomeromycetes; Glomerales; Glomeraceae.